AUACGGAGGGGGCUAGCGUUGUUCGGAAUUACUGGGCGUAAAGCGCGCGUAGGCGGGCUGGUCAGUUGGGGGUGAAAUCCCAGGGCUCAACCCUGGAACUGCCCUCAAUACUGCCAGUCUUGAGUUCGAGAGAGGUAAGUGGAAUUCCUAGUGUAGAGGUGAAAUUCGUAGAUAUUAGGAAGAACACCAGUGGCGAAGGCGGCUUACUGGCUCGAUACUGACGCUGAGGCGCGAAAGCGUGGGGAGCAAACAGGAUUAGAAACCCCGGUAGUCC
RNAcentral lists this ribosomal RNA (274 nucleotides) under uncultured bacterium. Its description in RNAcentral is "partial 16S ribosomal RNA". It matches the Rfam family "Bacterial small subunit ribosomal RNA", at positions 523 to 796 of the family's 1533-position model. The record is from RNAcentral.